RNAcentral lists this ribosomal RNA (328 nucleotides) under uncultured bacterium. Its description in RNAcentral is "bacterial SSU rRNA". It matches the Rfam family "Bacterial small subunit ribosomal RNA", at positions 34 to 353 of the family's 1533-position model. The record is from RNAcentral.
CGCUGGCGGCGUGCCUACCAUGCAAGUCGAGCGAGAAGUCCCUUCGGGGGCGAGUAGAGCGGCGGACGGGUGAGUAAGACGUGGAUAAUCUCCCCUCGAGCUUGGGAUAACCCCGCGAAAGUGGGGCUAAUACCGGAUAAGACCACGGCUUCUUCGGGGGCUGCGGUAAAAGGUGGGGACCUUCGGGCCUACCGUCAUUGGAUGAGUCCGCGUACCAUUAGCUAGUUGGUGGGGUAAGAGCCUACCAAGGCGACGAUGGUUAGCUGGUCUGAGAGGAUGAUCAGCCACACUGGAACUGAGACACGGAGCUGACUACUACCAUGCAGCA